Molecule: long non-coding RNA, 456 nt
Filed under: Vigna radiata
Lineage: Eukaryota; Viridiplantae; Streptophyta; Magnoliopsida; Fabales; Fabaceae
Description: long non-coding RNA (VRAD_LNC003928)
Source: RNAcentral
AAGUGGAGGUUGUUGAAACUGAGGAAAAGAAGGGGUUCCUGGACAAGAUUAAGGAGAAGCUACCAGGGCACAAGAAGACCGAGGAGGUUGCUUCUCCUCCGCCACCGGCACCACCUGCGGCGACCUCAUCAGAACACGGUGAGGGUGGUCAUCAUGAAGGAGAAGGGAAGGAGAAGAAAGGUAUAUUGGAGAAGAUAAAGGAGAAGCUUCCUGGUUACCACUCCAAAACAGAGGAGGAGAAAGAAAAGGAGAGUGGUGGUCACUGAGAUUGAGACAAGGCUUCUUUGUUGUUGGGUUUGUUGGAGAUGAUUGUGGUGUGCUUUGUUUUCCUUUCAUCAUAUCAAAGCCUUGUGGGGUUUCUUAUCUUUCGUGUUUCUUGAUGCAUACUUUACUUUUUAUUAUUGUGUAUGUAUCUAUCUUGCAUAUACAAAAGCUUGUUUAGGUUUCCUUUUUUUU